RNAcentral lists this long non-coding RNA (594 nucleotides) under Capsella rubella. RNAcentral describes it as "long non-coding RNA (CRUB_LNC002002)". The record is from RNAcentral. Lineage: Eukaryota; Viridiplantae; Streptophyta; Magnoliopsida; Brassicales; Brassicaceae.
AUUUAUAUGAUAUUGUUGAUGAGAUUUUACAUGAUCAGUACGUAGUUUCUUUAUUUUAGCAUCGAAGGUUUGUGGUCGUUUUGGGUAAAGACAUCAUGUUAGCUUUUGAAAACUGAGCUGGUGAAAGUCUAUGGAGCAAUGGAGUUGAUAAUUCGAAUACAUUGUAUCAUACUAACAUACAUGUCUCAAAUUAAAAAAAAAAAAAAAAACAGAAGGGUCAACCAUAUCGAUUACAUAGUUGUACCACGUGACUCAAUUAAACCAUACAUUACAUAUAAACUAUAUAAUAAAAAGAAGUCUAUGAUUUCUCUAACUUUGAAAAUGUCUGCGACACCAAAAACUAUUCUCCACAAAUUCUAUCUUCUUUAUUUUUUUUUCUUCUUCUCCUGUUUUAAAGCCGCGUGCCGUAUUUGUCAUCUCCCCUUUACUAUUCAAGUUUCAAAGUACACUUUCAACUAGCUUUACUCAGUAGUCCCCCUUGUUCAAAGUACCAUCUGCUUGUCUGCCUCCUUAUUGUAUCUAGAGCGAAAGUCAAAAACCGUCGUCGAUCUUAGACAUGUUUAACCAUCAACCAAAAAAAAAAAAAAAAAAAAA